This 39884-nucleotide long non-coding RNA is filed under the name Olea europaea (common olive). RNAcentral describes it as "long non-coding RNA (OEUR_LNC011305)". The record is from RNAcentral. Lineage: Eukaryota; Viridiplantae; Streptophyta; Magnoliopsida; Lamiales; Oleaceae.
UCAGACUCAAUUUGGCAUUGCACCAAUCUUGAAAGUUGAGUAGACUAAUUGGCAUAUGCUUUAUAGGAUUUUUGAUGGUUCAAUAGAAUUAUUAGCAUCCAUCAUACUUGACAGGGAGUUAUCCUGCAUUUUCCAACAUCAACAACUCCAACUCUUUGGAGUUUUAAAAGUGGCUAAUUAAGCUAGUCUUAGCAACAAGGUAAAUACAUAGAUACGGUAACAAAUCAACCAAAAUCAAGCAUUAUGCACUUAAUUUUAGGCUGGAAUAUAUCUUAAACAAUUAAAAGCAUAAAAUGAUGUGUAGGUCCUUCUUCAAUUAGUUAAUAUUUUCUUUUUACUUAUUUGCAUCUAUACUUCCAGCUCAUGCUAUUAAGUUACAACAAAAUUAAUGCACAAUAAUUUCAUCAAAGAAACGCAGUCAAAAUUUCCUGAAUUCCAACCAUUUUCAAAGAAGCCACUUCCUCACCUUUUUUUCAUCACUUGGACUUGUAGGCUGGAAUAUAUCUUAAACAAUUAAAAGCAUAAAAUGAUGUGUAGGUCCUUCUUCAAUUAGUUAAUAUUUUCUUUUUACUUGUUUGCAUCUAUACUUCCAGCUCAUGCUAUUAAGUUACAACAAAAUUAAUGCACAACAAUUUCAUCAAAGAAACGCAGUCAAAAUUUCCUGAAUUCCAACCAUUUUCAAAGAAGCCACUUCCUCACCUUUUUUUCAUCACUUGGACUUUAUACUCACUCCAUCUCCGCCAGCAAUAAUGACAGCAGUAGUCAUAUCCAAGAACAAUCCAUGCUCAACCACCCCUUCGAAAGCUGCAAUUUCCUUCCCGGCAGCAGCCGAAUCCUUUAUGGGCGUCUUGAAAUACAAGUCCACAAUGUAAUUCAUGUUAUCAGUCACAUAAGGUUUCCCAUCACCAUCCAAUCUCAGCUUCGCUUCGCACCCUUCUUCUUUGAAUAACUCCUGCAGUCUCACCAAAUUGUACUUCCAACAGAAUUGCACCACUUCCACAGGCAUUGCCAGGCCCGACCCACCAAGACCAUCCACCAGCUUCGAUUCAUCCACCACAACCACAAACUUAUCCGAGGCGGCCUCGACCAUCUUCUCGCGCAAAAGGGCCCCACCGCGACCCUUGACAAGAUCAAGAUCUGGGUCAACCUCAUCUGCUCCGUCAAUGGCCAAGUCCAGAUGAGGGUGGGCAUCGAGGGUUGACAAUGGAACGUUAAGACUAGCAGCUUGCUCCUGAGUCCUCUUCGAGGUGGGCACACCCACAAUAUUCGUAAGCUCGCCGGACUUAAUCAACUCGCCAAUCUUGGCCACCACGAAGGCGGCAGUGGACCCUGUACCCAACCCAAGAACCAUACCGCUCUUAACGUAUUCCACGGCCUUAUCAGCAGCAAGUUUCUUGAGAUCAUCUUGGGUCAAUACUGAGGGAGGAGUGGACAGGGCUUUGAUGACGAAUUUAGAAGGGUACCGCAGAUUAAGGUAUGAAGAACCUAGAUUAAGGCGGCGGGUGGCAUUGCGGUGGUUAACGGAGGAAAGUGAUGUGGGAGAGAGGAGGGAUAAGGUGGUGGCCAUGGGAAGCGAAAAUGGGAGGUUGGUGUGGAAUUUGGUGUGUGCUCCUCUCUUACCUAAUCUUCCAGUGAAAGGGGUUGGACUUGUUGGAUCGGUUUUCUAUUUAUAAGGCACGUGGCUGCCUUUGAGAUUCACCUUUAAGAAUCAUUUUUAAGGUGAAAAUGAAAGCCAAGGAAUUGGAGGUUGGUGGCAGUGGCGUGAAUCGCGAGAUAAAAAGAAAUUGUUCUAAAGGAUCAUGGGUGUUAGCUGGCCGCCCACGGAUCUGGGUCGAGCAGCGAAUUUCUCGUACGAAUUUUUCGUUGGUGUUGAAGCAUUGCGAGUUGACUCAUUGUAAAUGGNCACGGAUCUGGGUCGAGCAGCGAAUUUCUCGUACGAAUUUUUCGUUGGUGUUGAAGCAUUGCGAGUUGACUCAUUGUAAAUGGUAAAAAUUCAGCCAUUGCUUGCACCGCGUUAUUUUUAUAAAAAUACGUGUAAUAAUAGUGUUUCGCGCGGGUUAGUCACUAACAAAAAUGGAUCAGACGAUUGUGUAAGGGACAAGCCUCUUGAGACAAAAUCCCAAAAAGGGGUGUUUUUAUUGACGAUGACUUUACAAUUAGAAAAUAAAAAAGAAUGCCUCCAAGGGGCGCAAGCACACGAGUUACUGAAAAGAAGUGUUUAAAUCUAAACUAAAAAAUUGAAAGAUACAUAUUCUCUGUUUGAGACUGUUUGAUUCGGGAUCCUUUACUCAAUGUAUUUUCUUCCUUUUAUACUCCCUGAAUGAUCUCUUCGUGAUCAACCGUUUAAAAACUGUUUGAUCGCUUUAUAACUGCCCACUUUUUUCAUAGUGGCCAACUUGUCAUGGAACUGCCUUCUCUAAUUGCUGUCAUUACUUUUUGUAGUUCAAUCAUCUUCAAUUGAAUUCCUUGAAUCGUGGAACGUGAUAGGGCUACUGCUUCAUUAACCGCACCUUUGGGUAACCAUAACAUCUUAUAUUUUCUAAGAUCCUGGACGAUUCGAAGGUUUGGGUGAGAACGGAGUCACAGCUCUGGGCGACUGCAUGGCAAUCCAUUCGCUUAAAUCUUGGGCGACUUAUAAACUUGGGCGAUGGUAUUACCGCGUUCAUGGGCUUCCCUAUUUGGGCCUUUAUCCUGAAUUGCCUGAUUGGGCCGUUCUUUGAGCUAUCUGAUUUGGGGAUCCUCCAAUUGGACUUCAUUCCUUGGGCUGAAUUUUUUGUGUGUCAACAAUUACCCCCAAUAUGGCAGAAUUAAUACCAAUUAUUAAUUUUUGCCAUAUUCACUUUGUGUUUCCCAACAACAUUUGAAAUUCCCAAGAAUUUCAAUCAUUAUUUUCUUCCAUAAUCUGAAAAGCUGCGACGUUUGCAAACCCUUAUAACCCCCAAAUACACAUCAUUUCAUUGCACCACUAAAUUACGCCUUAUUGUUUCGCGCUUCUCUCUCGCAAUAUUACUGUUCAUCUUCUUGCUUCUCUGCUACGUUUUUUAAGCAAACUUCGAUAAACUCUAUUUCGUUCCUAAUGGCUGCUUCACAAUCCCAGUCUGGUGACUCCUUCGGUUUCGAAAACUUCCAGAAACUCCUCACUCGGCCAUAUAUAACUCUGAACUUCCUUGCACCAGCCAAUGUCGAACUCAAUGAGUUCUAUCUAGGUCAUUCAUUCAACAACGCCGAGGCCAUCGAACAAGCAGCGGUCGGUCAACUGUUCCCUUGUACUCAAGACCCUCCGUUUCUAAACUCUUUGCCGCUGAGGCCGCUUCGCGAAAGAGGUAUUCGCACUUGGCCUAAAUCUGAUGUCGUUUUUCGUAGAUGGCAUGCUUGCCUUGUGGACCAUGGUCCUACUAAGACAAUUUUUUAUAGUGCUAGGAUUUCUGAUUUGUUAGAAAUCUCUCUUCAACCCCCUAUUUUUUACCCAGCACUUUUUCCAAUCGCUUUAAAUUUUUGGUGUUCUGAGUAUAAUACUUUUGUUUUCCCUCUUGGUCCCAUAUCCAUUACCUUAAGGGAUGUUGGGGCCCUAGUAAAUCUGCCACCUUUGGGCGAUACCAUUUUCCGUGGUAUUUUGAUUUCUGGUGUCGUCCCAAAAUUUGAUAGAAAACUCAUCGAGUCUUAUUCAAGUCUGCAAACCUGUCAUAACUACUCGAGCACUGAGCCUUCCCAUACUGAGCGUGUGGCCUUUCUUCAGAUUUGGCUUUAUAAAUACAUUUUGUAUGUGCCAAGCAUAAAGCCCUCCAUGAGCUAUUUACCCAUAGCGCACAAAUUGGUGCGUGGUAGGCCUCUAAAUUUAUGUUCUUUCUUUUUAACUGCCCUCUAUAGAGGCAUGGCUUCUCUUCAAUCCCAAUUGAAGAAUGGUGCAUCUCCUACUGGUAGUGGGCCUCUUUGGUUCACUCAAAUGUGGUUGAGAGUCUAUUUUCCAUCGCUUGGUGCUCCAUCCUUUUCCAGUCCUUCUGCUAGCUGCUAUGGGCUAGCCAUUAAUCCCCUGACUCCUGUAAAUAUGUCCAGAAGGGAUAUUUUUUCAUUCUUUUAUAUUCUGAAUUCAAUCCCUUCCUUCUUUCCUUUUCCUCCCUUUUUGACUCCAGAUUAUGUGCAACCUCCAUCCACUCUGGAUAGUGCGAACACCUCUGUGUUCGUUUGGAUUUAAUUUUUGACCGGGAGGGAGUUGUUCCAUAAUAUUUUAACUGAGACCAAUGCCAAAGCUGGGGUUGAAAUAUAUGCUCCCCAAUUUUUUGCUCGCCAACUUGGUUUUAGCCAAACUUGGCCCGUUCCCCCUUGCUAUUCAAGAAAUUUGAUAGACCGCUUCCACACCAUUAAUAAGGCAGAGGCAGGAGCUAUAGAUGCUUACAAUAUUCUUUUGACAAGCAACUUUUCAUUAGCCCCCUUCAAUCCUAGCCGUGCCAUCCAUCCCCUUUUUGAACGACUCUGGCCGUCAGUGAAACGCAGAUUGUUUGCGACUAAUGCCAAUCGUGCUUUCCAUUCACUAGACCACUCAAACAUUUCUUCCACCUUUCCUGUUUUGGUCACUCCUAUGUCCAUUAGGAGUCCCUCUUCCCCUGCUCGUGCUAAACAGUCUGCUUGUCCAUCGACUUCUCUUCCCGCCAAGCCCACUGCAGCUAAAAGUGCCCCAAGCCGCAAACGGCCAGCCUCAGCAUCUCCCAUUCUGGAGGAUGAUGCUGAUGAUAAUGAUGACACCCCUCUCUUCGUCAAGAGAAAGGUAAUUAAAUUGGUUUACUCACAAACAUACCUUUCCAUACUUGAAACUUUUCUAUGUGCUGAUGAUUUAUUUGGAUUUCUCAGAAAAGUUCAGCCUCUCCUUUGAAGGCUUUGGUGUUGGCAGCUCCUGCUCCAUCAUCCUCUACUGAGGCUGCUUCGUCCAAACCAGCUGAUAAAGAGACUACGCUUAAAGAGAAAUCUUCAAUCCCAAAAUCUUUAUCACAACCAAUGGAUGAGCCACCUUCUUCCCAGGGCAUUGACCCCCCAAAUGUCGAAGCAGAAGGUAAUUCAUUUUUUAAUGCUUUACCUUUGCUUGUGCUAUUGGUUUUUGAUUUGUUGCUUUUUGAGUUCUGCAGAUGCUUCCAUGAGUCUGUCCGUUGCGGCAAGGUCUUCUUGCUUAAACAAGGGGAAAUCCUCACAAAUUAUGGAGCCACAGGUGGUAGAUUGGCUGGGGAUAUGCCACCUUCCAAGAUUGCUGAUGAGGUAAUCUUUGCUUCACCUUUACUUCCACUUUGUUUAGUGUAGUGAAAACCUUCAAUGUUGGCAACUUUCUUUGCAGGAUGCUGAUAAAAUUGUGCGUUCCAUCCAAGACUUGUUCACUUCCUGGGGGCAAGUCAAGACAUCUCGCCCUGCUUCAGCCAGUCGUCCUUCUACUUCUUCAGAGGAAAAUAUGAAAUUCCUCAAGCCGUCGAUAUUUGAGUAUGUGUCCUUCAUGGAUAUGGACGUCGGUAAGGCUAGUGCUGCCAAGCAUAAGGAUAAGCUUGAGCAUUGGAAUGCGAAAUUGGAGCAAGCACUGACACUUCCGUCGCUCCAUCUUUCUACUGAUUUUAAAGCGACGUUGAAAGUUGUCCAUUCCGAGGUCCUCUCCUUGCUGGCCAAAAAUGUUAAACUGAAGGCCAAAAGUACUCAAUAUUUUCGCGCUGUAUCUGAAAGAGAAUCUUUGCUUUUGGAGAUCAACAAAGCUGAGAACGAAUUGAAAGAAAUCUCUUCUGAAGUCAUGAUUGAAGACUCCUUGAUGACCAGUUUGGCUGCAUAGAUGAAGGAGCUUCAAGAAAAGAUGGACGACUGCAAGGCGAGAAUGGCUGCCAAAAAAUGCAAUGCCUCCCAAGAAAUUGAGCGAACCAAGUCUUUGGUCGAGCAGUACAAGAAGUUGGAAGUUGAUGAUGAUGUUAUGGCUGAAUUGAAUAUCACUUCUUCUCGGCAGAGCGAGGACUGGGGGAGACUCAGGGAAAGAAUUCGUUUGGUAUGGGGCGAAUUGUAAUAAAGACAUAUAAUGCCUUAACUUUUUCUUUUUGUAAUUUCGUAUUGACUUUCCCUUUGUAACCUUGUACUGAUAUCCAUUGCUAAUUUUGAUCAUAACAGCAGCCAUCAUUAUUAAUGAAUAACUAUUUUAGCUUCUUGUAUAUUUAUUGAUGUUUGUCUCUUAAUCGUCAAUCGCUCAAGCAUUUAACUGCUUUAUGCUAAAAAAAUUUGCACAUUUUCUCUUGAUAUUUCUGCCUCUUUUCCCAAAACUUUGGGCCAUUUGAUUCUAGUUACUAGGCACGAAUGUGACCGUUCAUAUUCUGUCUCUUCACUUUCACGCCUCUAUCAAUGCACUUAUAUUUCACACUUGUCAUUUUCAUUUCCAUUUUCUUCUUCAAAAUCAAUUUGCUGCCAUUGUUUGGCACUUUGACAAUCGAUCCAAAGCCUUCGUCUUCCAUGGAAAUGGAUCAUUUGAUUCGCCCAUUUUGCCAUCUUUCUUGAUGUUACCUUUGGUAUGGGAGAUAUAGGAAAUAUUCUUUAGCCAGCGAAGUUCUUCCCAUCAUCUCCAUGUUCUUUACAAGGAGUUCGAUGAUGGAAAAUAAUUUUUGAGGAUGCCUGCAAGCCACCUUGCUUGCUGAGAGUGCUUCUCAGCCUCAUUACUCGUCAUUGCAGCGAUGCAUUUAGGAAGGCGAUGCGAAGGAGCUUCAUCUUCCUUUCCGCUUGCUGAAAGUGCUUCUCGGCCUCUCUGGUUGCCUUUGCAGCAGUGCGAUCGGGAUGGUGAUCAAGGCCAGUACACCCUCUUACUCAGCGAUCGACCGGGAGAUUAGUUUGUUCUUAAUUGUAGUUUAUAGAGUAUCUAGCAUAUUAUAUUUUGCAGCUUUGUAAUGAACGUUUGAUAAUAAAGGAAUUUAUUUGAAUGUAUUUCGCUCUGACCCUUUUUACUCUACGAUCGUUCAAUGCGAUUUGAUUACGCUUUUAUUUGUUCACUUUCCCAUAAGGAAUGAACAUAUUUUUUUUAAAUAUUUGUCAUUAAUGAACUUCAUGUGCUUGGUGCAGUCUAAAUCUUCCAAAUGAUAGGCUCCAUUGGGCAACACAUUAUUUACUUUGUAUGGUCCUUUCCAAUUGGGCGACCAUUUGCCAUACUUUGGAUCUUUGCUAUCCAAAGGGAGUACUAUUUUCCAAACCAAUUCGCAUAGGUUGAAUGACUUGGCUAUAACUUUUUUAUUAUAAAAUUUAGCCAUUCUUCGUUUUUGAACUUGCAAUCUAUCUAGGACGUCCAACUUUAAUUCGUCCAACUCCAAUAAGUUUUGAACUAGUGAUUCGGUAUACUCACCACCACUUAACUUAUGUUGCAAACACACUCUGGUCGAUUGCACGUUGAUUUCUAUAGGCAAAACAGCCUCUUGUCUAUAAGUAAGUUAGAAAGGAGUAAUUUUGGUACUUGACCGAGGCUACGUCCUAUAAGCCUAUAAGGCCUUGUUCAGACAUUCGUGCCAAUUUCUGGCAUUUUCAUCUAUCAUUUUUCUUGUAAUAUUUUUUAGAAUCUUAUUAGAAGAUUUUGCUUGUCCGUUGGAUUGAGCGUAAUAUGGUGUGGAGUUCAUUAAUUUAACCCCAAACUCGCUCAAGAAUUUUUCACUUGAUCCCUAUUCAAAGAUAUUCCGUGAUCUACCAUCAAAAUUUGUGGAAUUUCAAAUCUAUAAAUGAUGUGAUCACAGAUAAAUUCUAUGACAUUCUUUUGGGUGAUCUCCUUUAAAGGUACCGCCUCUACCCACUUAGUGAAAUAAUCAGUUGCAACUAUAACAAAAGUAUGUUGCUUGGACGAUGGGGGAUAAAUCUUCCCUAUCAGAUCUAACGCCCAACCCUUGAACGGCCAAGGUUUAAUAAUAGGUGACAUUUCUCAUGCUGACGCCCUUUGUAUUGGACCAUGCUUUUGGCAUGCUAAACAACUCUUUGCAUACUGAACGCAUAAUUCUCCCAUCUUUGACCAAAAAUAUCUACACCUAAUAAUUAACCAUCUCAUCCUUUGGCCAGUUUGAUGAGCUCCACAUAUCUCUUCGUGAACUUCAGCCAUGAUCGUCCUGACUUCUUGCAAACUUACACAUUUUAGCAAUAUACCAUCAGAGCAUUUCUUAAACAACUCUUCAUCUAUUAGUGUAUAGUUUAGCAAAUGCAGCUUCAUUUUUCUACUAUUUCCUUUAUUAGGUUUUUUAAGGAACCUUUUAAUCUCUGUCCUCCAAUUCAUUGUAUCUCCAUUUUGUAUGCAAUGAAGUUCAAUCCUUCUCACCCUUCUUUGGAUCACGGGCAAUAUGGUUUCAUACUCACAAGUAGACUUCCAAUUUAAAACAUUUGAGUAUCCUGAGGCCAUUUGGGCCAACUCAUUUGCCACGUCAUUAUAUAUCCUAUUAACGCAUUGAAGUUCUACUUGGUCGAAUUCUUCUAACAACUCUUGGGCGAUUUCAUAUUGACUCAUGAUGGAAUCACUUUGGCAUUUAAAAUCACCAAUCAAUUGGUGAAUUACCAAUUGAGAAUCGCCUCUAAUGAUUACAUUCUUUACCCCCAUAUCUAUCAUUAGUUCUAGGCCCACGAUUAAGGUUUCAUAUUCAGCCUGAUUGUUGGUGCACAUCCUAUCCAAAGUGAAUGCGAAUUUGUAGCAAAUCCCUAAAGGAUUUAUCAAUGCUACUCCUACUCCUGCACCUUUAGAGGUUUUCGGCCCAUCGAAAUACAACACCCAAGGUGUUAGUUUAAAUGAAUUGAUUUCUAAUUCAAUUUCUUCAAGCGUGUCAAGACAUGGAUGAUCGGCUAAAAAAUUAGCCAAAGCCUAAUUUUUGACUGCCUUUUGGGGUAUGUAUUGUAUUUCAAAUUCUGAUAAAGUUAACAUCCAAAUGCCUACCCUUUGGUCACCAAAUUUGUCUUCUUGCUCGACCAUUCCAACUAUUGAUUCUUUUUCAGCCAAUACAUACACUUUCAUUGGCCAUCCUUGGAUUGGUGACACAAACACUGGUGGACUUGAUAAAUAUGUCUUCAAACUUUCAAAAACCUUUUGAUGUUCUUCUUUCCAGACGAAUUCGUCAUGAUUUUUCAACUUCAAAAGUGGCGAAAAAACUUUAGUUCGCCAUCUUGAUCGAGCAUCUAGCUGAUGAAUGUUGGACGAUCUUCUCCUUCAUUGCCAAUGUUCAUUUUAAUCAGAGGGUCUUGUGCUUGAGCGUAUCCAGGUUUGAAGAUCCGCAUUACUUCAUCGUCCAGUUCCCUUGUAGGCACUUCUUCUUCUAAACAAUCCACCUUGUUGACUUCUCGGCCAAUACUUUGUUCCAAUUCGAAUACUGCUAAUUUAUCUUUCAACGCUUUCAGGACUACCUCUUCUUUCAUCUUGUCUUUGCAUUCUUUAUUGAAAGUCAUUAAUUUGGCUUUGAAGGCCUGAAUAUCGGUCAUUUACUUUUGUUGCUUAGAACUCAUUCAAGACUCCUUGAUUAUUCUUUUGUCAAUUACUGGCUCUUCUAGGGUCACUAUAUUUGGUCUCAUCUGACUGAACAUUUCAUUGAGUGCGUCCACUAAAAAUGGCUCUUCACUCUGCGCAACAAUCUGAGUUUCUUCCCCAUCUUGGACUACCCUGACAGGUCCAUAGUUUCCUUCGUACAUGAACNNNNNNNNNNNNNNNNNNNNNNNNNNNNNNNNNNNNNNNNNNNNNNNNNNNNNNNNNNNNNNNNNNNNNNNNNNNNNNNNNNNNNNNNNNNNNNNNNNNNNNNNNNNNNNNNNNNNNNNNNNNNNNNNNNNNNNNNNNNNNNNNNNNNNNNNNNNNNNNNNNNNNNNNNNNNNNNNNNNNNNNNNNNNNNNNNNNNNNNNNNNNNNNNNNNNNNNNNNNNNNNNNNNNNNNNNNNNNNNNNNNNNNNNNNNNNNNNNNNNNNNNNNNNNNNNNNNNNNNNNNNNNNNNNNNNNNNNNNNNNNNNNNNNNNNNNNNNNNNNNNNNNNNNNNNNNNNNNNNNNNNNNNNNNNNNNNNNNNNNNNNNNNNNNNNNNNNNNNNNNNNNNNNNNNNNNNNNNNNNNNNNNNNNNNNNNNNNNNNNNNNNNNNNNNNNNNNNNNNNNNNNNNNNNNNNNNNNNNNNNNNNNNNNNNNNNNNNNNNNNNNNNNNNNNNNNNNNNNNNNNNNNNNNNNNNNNNNNNNNNNNNNNNNNNNNNNNNNNNNNNNNNNNNNNNNNNNNNNNNNNNNNNNNNNNNNNNNNNNNNNNNNNNNNNNNNNNNNNNNNNNNNNNNNNNNNNNNNNNNNNNNNNNNNNNNNNNNNNNNNNNNNNNNNNNNNNNNNNNNNNNNNNNNNNNNNNNNNNNNNNNNNNNNNNNNNNNNNNNNNNNNNNNNNNNNNNNNNNNNNNNNNNNNNNNNNNNNNNNNNNNNNNNNNNNNNNNNNNNNNNNNNNNNNNNNNNNNNNNNNNNNNNNNNNNNNNNNNNNNNNNNNNNNNNNNNNNNNNNNNNNNNNNNNNNNNNNNNNNNNNNNNNNNNNNNNNNNNNNNNNNNNNNNNNNNNNNNNNNNNNNNNNNNNNNNNNNNNNNNNNNNNNNNNNNNNNNNNNNNNNNNNNNNNNNNNNNNNNNNNNNNNNNNNNNNNNNNNNNNNNNNNNNNNNNNNNNNNNNNNNNNNNNNNNNNNNNNNNNNNNNNNNNNNNNNNNNNNNNNNNNNNNNNNNNNNNNNNNNNNNNNNNNNNNNNNNNNNNNNNNNNNNNNNNNNNNNNNNNNNNNNNNNNNNNNNNNNNNNNNNNNNNNNNNNNNNNNNNNNNNNNNNNNNNNNNNNNNNNNNNNNNNNNNNNNNNNNNNNNNNNNNNNNNNNNNNNNNNNNNNNNNNNNNNNNNNNNNNNNNNNNNNNNNNNNNNNNNNNNNNNNNNNNNNNNNNNNNNNNNNNNNNNNNNNNNNNNNNNNNNNNNNNNNNNNNNNNNNNNNNNNNNNNNNNNNNNNNNNNNNNNNNNNNNNNNNNNNNNNNNNNNNNNNNNNNNNNNNNNNNNNNNNNNNNNNNNNNNNNNNNNNNNNNNNNNNNNNNNNNNNNNNNNNNNNNNNNNNNNNNNNNNNNNNNNNNNNNNNNNNNNNNNNNNNNNNNNNNNNNNNNNNNNNNNNNNNNNNNNUUUAAUACGCUCAAAGACAUUGGGAUGUGGUCCAGGGUCUUCUUCUCCAUCAUCUAUAACCAACUUGAAUUUUGGCAACUUGUUUUUGAAACCAAACGUCACCAUAUUCACUCCAAGUGGCCGUGGAAAAGGAUUUCCAUCCACUGUCAUCUUCUUCUUAUCAUCGAACGUAAUUCAUCAUGAUUCAAUGGCAUCCUAUAACACAUGGCGAAAAAUCAAGCAAUUGUUAGUUAAAUGUGACAAUGCAUUAUGCCACUUACAAUAUUUUUUACCCUUAAUUUGUUCAGGGCUUGGCAAUUUAUGCUUAUCGCUCAACUUUAUCUGCUUAUCUUUAUAUAAUUUAUCAAAUAUAAGGUCAGCUUUGGUUAUAUCGAAUAAGAACGUUCUAGCUUUUAUGUUUUCAUCUUUCGUAGGCUCAUCCUUAUCCGAUGGUCUAAGCUUAGCCAUUAUAGGACAAGUAUACGUGUCUCCUUUGACUAAUUCGGCCAAACAUAUUUCGGUCUGAUCGUAUGACUCGUUAUUGAUGGUAUGAACAUCAAAAUUUGGGUCUUUAUAAUAAUUCCCCUUGCUAGAAUUUUUUAUCUGCUCUUCUUCUCUUAUCAAUCGUUCAUACCUAAUCACGUUCGCGCUCAAUUGAAAAAGGUCAGGAAAUUCCUUGUCUUGAAAUUUCUUUUUCAAAUCAAAGCUCAAACAACCUUGAGCAAUUUUGACAAACUCUUUUUCGGGUAAAGUUACAAAAUAUUUACUUCUUGCUGUCUUGAACGUUUGGAUGAAACCUUCUGCCCAUUCGUUUGGCAUUUGACGUAGAUUCGUCAAAUCGGUCAAAGUAAUUUCAGACUCAGUCUUAUGAAAUUGAGCGUGGAAUAAUUAUUCCAAUUAUUGCCAUGUUUGAACAGGGUUUGCUGGCAAAUUAAUGAACCAGGAGAAAGCUACUUCUGUUAAUGAACUAGGGAAAAGCCUCAUUUUAUGAUAAUCAGUUACGUCACCACUUUGCAGUGUGAAUCGCCCUAUAUGUUAUAGAGUAGACACCUCCCUUAAACCGGUAAACAGUGAGAAUUCUGGCACUUUAUACUCUCUAGGCCAUGGAUAUGCUUGGUCUACCAAAUCAGGAUAUGGCUUUGUGUAAGUUGGCCUAAUGUCAGGUCGUACCCCAAAAGCCAUCUGAUCCUGUACGAUUUCCAUAAUCUGAUUCCUCAACAUGACGUUGGGGUCAUAUGGAAUCCCUACAGGUUGGUUGACCGGUUGAUUUGCUUGAGGCCUGAUGUUUGGUCCUUGAUUGGGAACAAAGUUACCAUAAUUUGGGCCAUUGUUACCAUUAGCCUGAACAUUUAUUCCCUCAUUAACACGUGGGGUAUUCUACCCAUUAUUUAGGAUAUUAUCUCUUACAUUUGGAUUAUCUCCCAAGUUAGACGUACCAAUGCCACUAUUCUGAUUUGGUAUUGCACCACCCCCCUGGUUUGAAGUAGAGGGAUCAAAAGGUGGUCUACCCCUUGAUUGAAACUUAGGACUGGGGGGUUAUAUCCCACAAUUGUCCUAGUUUGAAAGUGGUUUGUAAGAGGCAUAACUGAUUGACAAAUUUGGCUUACUAAUUUAUUCAUUAUUUCGUUCAAAGUAUUCAAUUGUUUGGCCAUGUUGUCAUAAUGUGCAUUCCCAUUCUGGGUAAAUCUUUCCAUAUUAUGAAUAUUUCGAAGAUUUACCUGUUCAACGACAUCUUGUGUGAGUUCUCCAAGUAGUGCACGCAUAGUUCGAGGACUCAACUCUGUCAUUGAUUCGUAACGACUGUUACUGCUCUGAUUCUGUCCAUCUGUUCGUGAAAAGCUAUGCUGCUCCUCAUAUCGCUCGAUCACAGACUGGACUCCUUCCUGACUUGCUGCUUCCUUAUCGGAUCUCUAAAGCAUAUUGUUUCACCUUUUGUAUCUUUAAUACCAAACACCGAUGUCCCACUAGGCGUGCCAAAUUGUUUUGUGCGAGUUAGUCGCUAACAAUUAAAAAGGGAUCAGACGAUUGUGUAAAAGACAAACCUCUUGAGACAAAGUCCCAAAAAGGGGUAUUUUUAUUGGCGAUGACUUUACAAUUGGAAAAUAAAACAGAAUGCCUCCAAGGGGCACAAGCACACGAGUUACUGAAAAGAAGUGUUUAAAUCUAAACUAAGAAAUUGAAAGUUACAUAUUCUCUGUUUGAGAGUGUUUGAUUCGGGGUCCUUUGCUCUAUGUUUUUUCUUCUUUUUAUACUCUCUGAAUGAUCUCUUCGUGAUCAAUCGUUUAAAAACUACUUGAUCGCUCUAUAACUGCUCACUUUCUUCAUAGUGACCAACUUGUCAUGCAACUGCCUUUUCUAACUACUGCCAUUAUUUUUUGUCGUUCAACCAUUUUCAAUUGAAUUCCUUGAAUCGUGUAACGUGAUAGGGCUACUCAAUAAUUGCUUCAUUAACCGCACCUUUGGGUAAUCAUGACAUCUUAUGUUUACUAAGAUCCUGGGCGACUCGAAGGUUUGGACGAGAACAGGGUCACAGCUCUGGGCGACUGCAUGACAAUCCAUUCGCUCAAAUCUUGGGCGACUUGCAAGUUUGAACGAAGGUAUUACCGCGUUCAUGGGCUUCCCUAUUUGGGCCUUUAUCCUGAAUUGCCUAAUUGGGCCGUUCUUUGAGCUAUCUGAUUUGGGGAUCCUCCAAUUGGACUUCAUUCUUUGGACUAUUCGAUUUGGGCUGAAUUUUUUGUAUGUCAACAAAUAAAAAAUGUGUGAUUAAAAAAAUAAAAAAAUAAAAAUUGGAUUUAAGUGUAAUAUUAUUUUAUUAAAAAUAUGUGAUUGAAAUGAUGUCAAAUUAUCGUUUAAGAAUGUAUGUUUUUUUAAAUAAUGCGGAUCAAACAUGGCCUCAAUUUUAAAUAAAAAAAUUUAAACAAAAAAUGGAAAAUAUAAUCACAAUCGCACAAUUCCUACACAAAUGCAGUCAACAAAAAUUCUAAUUCUUCAAUGAGCAAAAUGUCCCAUCCUUGAAAUCAAUGUUGAAAACAAAUGUACCGUAUUCUCCAUCCUAUUUAUAUAAGCUGACUUUAUUUAUUUUCUUAUUCCAAUUAUAUAAUUUUAUUAUAUAAUUUUAUUUCUUUAUUAAGAGUAUUUUGUUUUGUUUGAUUACUAAUAUGCCCUUAUUUAAUUUGUCUAGUUAUAAUUAAUUUUCUUCAGGUAAUCUUGAAAUUGUGCACAUAUAAAUAAGGGUAAAUUAGCAAAGCUUUUAAAAAAAAUUAUUUUUUCAAUAACAUUAAAUAAAAUUUCUUAAUUCGUAUGAAAAACAAAAUUAACCUAUAUAAAUGAAACAAAGGGAAUAUAAGUAAUUUCUAGCCAACGCACUUCUAUUGCCACAUGAGCAUUGUGUACUAGGUAGGCAAAGUAUGAAACUUACCAUAUACAGCAGCAUACAUGCCAUACAAUGAGCAAAGGUUUCAUUUUAAUGAUUAUGUAGUAGCCGUACCAUAGAAAACCAUCGAGAUUCUCGAAAAGCAAGUAAAAUUGGAUACAAAAAUCUUCAUUUCCUAGCAACAAACCUACAGCAAGAAGCCAAAAAAUUUGAUGAAGAAUUAAAAACAUUGGAGACUUGGAACUUGCCUAGAGGCAUAAUCCGAAGCAUUGCACCAUAUAAUGCCUUAUCUUUGAUUUUUCAUCGAGAAGGAGAAGGGGCAAUUGAGAUUUUUUGUUCAUUUUUUUGGGUUCUUGAUGAUAAGACCCUUCUACAAACUUUAUUCAAAACAAACGCUUUCUCUACAAUUUAAUUUAGUGUCUUGAUCAAAAUGUCCUUGCCAAAUCACAUGGCUAAACUGCAAUCAAUCAUCUGACGAAGCAAAUACACGGAAUGAGAUGUUAUGGGUGAUUCGCACAAAGAAUGGUCCAUUUGGGGGUUCAAAUGUUAAAAGUGAAAUGAUAGGGAAUAUUUGCUCAAUGAAAGUAAAUAAUAGACUUUUUGUAUCAAUUACACUUUUGUGUAUCAAAAUGACAAUUAAGCCGUCUGAGUCACAUUUAUUUUCAUAAAAAUGCAUUUUUGAAUAGUGUAUUAAUAGGAAAUGUGUAGAUAAAAAUUAAAAAAAAAUUAUAAAUUUUCUUGUAAUAUUAUUGUAUUGAAAAAUAUGUGGUUGAAAUAAAAUCAAAUUGCUGUUUAAGAAUGAGUUUUUUUAAAAGAAUGUGGCUCGAGGCCUAAAAGAGAUCUUCAAUACAAUCUUGAAUAAAAUAAAGCUAGAUGGCCAAAAUGAAAAUUAGCCGAGAGUUAGAGGACCAAAGUUGUUUUUCACUCUAAAGAGGGUCGAGAACAUUUGAAAGGAGCUGAAUCAUACAUCGCACUUGGAUUCCCAGCAAUAUUCUGUUAACGUAUUGCUCAAACGUAUUCCCCCUUGAAUCUAGUCCCUUGCCUCCUCUCUGUCAUCAAUCAUGUCGGCCGAAUCAGCCUCUUCCAUCCAAAGAAAUCAGGUGAAAAUAUUCAUUCGUUAUUGCCUCCAAUAAGUUUCAAGUUCUUGCAGUUUUUGACUUUUAUCUCGUAAAUUGGACGACAUUUCUACAUAUAUGUGUAGGUUGAUCUACUGGACUUUGUGAACUGGUCGGGCGUGGAAUGUUUAAAUCAAAACAGCAGUCACUGUCUUCCGAAUGCUCUCAAACGGGUACUUUUUAAUAAUUGAUGAAAUUCUUGAAUUCUUGUCAAAAUUAGGGUUUUUUUCCUGGUUAAUUUAUUUAAGAAUAGGAUGCUUACCUUAUGUUUCUAUACUGUUUCUGUAUUUAAGGGUUUUGAAACUUAUUGACCGAAAAUCGGGUCAUAGAAUAGAAUAGAAUACUCCAAAUUUCUGGGCUCUUGCAGUACAUUGAAUGCGCCUGCUUUUUAUUUGAGCAUCUAUCUAACAACGCGUUGUCAUAAGAACCAUUUAGCAUGAUGUGUAAAAUACAUAAAUGAAAGAAAUAGAUGUCCUAGAAAAAUGGAUGUUCUCGAUACUUGUAGGUGUCAGUUGAAGGUAUGUUUUGUAACUAUUCUCAAAGGAGGCCUUCUAAUUGAUUCAUAUUUCUGUUUCUAGAUCUGUUAAAGUAUUUUUUAGUUUUUGUUAAGUUGUGAGCGUUACUUGAUCCGGAAAAAUCUUAAUGUUAAAUCAUUAAUAGGACUAUCAUCCUUGUUUUGGUGGUCAAAUGCUAGACUAAUUAGCGUCCAUAUCCGUCAUAUUUGCUAUAUACAACAUAGCUGUUUCUGCGCACUUUAGAAAAUAAUGUAGAAGGCCAUGUUAGAAAUAAGAAUUGAUCAAGAUGCCUACUAUAUGCUGUGCAUUCAUGUUGACUUAACCAACAGUUAAGCACUUUCCUGCUUGUCCUUCUUCUUAUAUUUGUUUCUUUCUCAAAUUUCAUAGGGAUGGAACCAUUUCUGUAAGACCAUUGAAGGGAAUUGAGUUUGAGAUACUAUAUUGCAGUGUUUUAACUAGAUGUCUCUACACUAAGAAAUUGUGAUAGUAUUUUGGAGCAGUCUUGUUAGCAUUGCUUUGUUGGUCGUGAAAGAGAAAGGAAGGCUUGAUAAUAAAUAUUCCAGUCAGGAGAGAAUAUCCAUCUUUAGUAAUCCAAGGAAACUAUAAGCUCAAAACUGAUACGAUUCGGAGGGACAACAGAAGAGUAGUGAUACAGUUGCUUGUUUGUUCUUCCAAAAUAAGAAACACAAAAUUUAAGAAAAAAAUUGAUCUUCAAUGAACAAAGCAGGUAUUGAAAAUGCAGAUCAUGAACCUUUGGAACUAAUAAAGGUUUGGAACCCUUGAUGAAUGUUCAUAUAUAAAUUCUGGUUAUACAUUUAUAUCAUUUGGCAUUUGGACUCAGUUGGCAGUUUAGAGUUUGGUUUAAUUCAUUAGAUUGUUAUAAAUUCUUUUAAUCCUUGAUUUUAGCAUCAGAUAAGCAAGACUGAAAAAAGCCUUAUGUAGAUUGGUGCCCAAAACUAACUAGAUUUAUCUGCAAUUUAGAUUAAUUAAAAUUUUUAAAUGCGACAUCGGCUGUUGCCAAACCAGGUGUUGGUUAAAUAGGUCACGCUUAUACUACACCACAAUCAGUUUUACUUUUUUCUGAACACCCUCUUUUGGGGGAAUGAUCGGAACGGUGUAGUGUGGAUAAGACAGGACAUCAAUAAACAUCACAUGUUGUGUGGCCUGAUCUUAUCUUGAGAUCUGAAUUACGUUUCAUAUUUAGCCCAUGUUUGGCUACUGUUUAUUAUUUGUUUAUCAAAAUUUUUAUCCACAUUUCAAGGGACCCACAAAUACUACUCAUUUAUUGACCACUCAUUUUUAUUUAUAAUUUUGAUCAUUUAUUAACCACUCCAAAAUAUGCUUUUAGAUUUUCAUUUUCUUUUAUGCUAUUGGUAUCCACAUUUAAAUGCCUGAUUUGCUAUUAUUCUCUUGUUAAUCCGCCGAACAGUUGCUGUAUUUUUUAUAUCUAAAUUGAAGAUGGGAUCUGAAAGGGUCGGAAUUUUAUAUUUUGAAAGUGAUAUGUAGGAAGAGUUUAUCAACUAGAUUGGAUUUUAGUCAUCCAAGGAUCAUGAUAGUUACCAACGCAGAUUAUGAAAAAAAACAAACGAACAGAGCUAAACUUGAAAGGAAUUACAAGGUUGAUGAGUAUUCAAGAGGCUCAAUACCCUCCCCUAUUUGUAGCAUAUACAAUUCGCUAUGCUAAAUUCCCAUAAUACUCUUCCUCUACUUUAACUAAAUGGAACUAUUCAAGUUCUUUUGAGGCAUAUCAGAUCUCAACAUUGUACAUUAGAAUCAAGAUCAGUGUUACCUUGCAAGAUAGAUGUAUUGAAUUGAGAGGCUCCGUGUCCCUCCAUGAGAGGGAUUUCCUAAUUGGAUUUCUAUUCCCUAUUCAUUAGUCAAACAUGAGCUUUUUGGUUUUUUAUUAGGGUUUUACCUUUUUCCUUGGGUCGUAUUAUCAUUACGUUUGGGAAAUAGCAUUACUCUAUGUCCUCACUUUGUUUCUUUUUUCCAUUGUCCAUUUAUUGACCAUUUCCUUUUGGGAAGUACAUGGGGUUUGGAUCUACUUGCAUCAUUAUUAUCUUGUAGUUCAUUCCUUUUGUUUUUGGUUCAGGAUUACAGAGAAGACGAGGGUUUAAAUUUGGAGAGUGAUGCAGAUGAGCAGCUGUUGAUUUACAUUCCUUUUACUCAAGUUAUUAAACUACACUCUAUUGUCAUUAAAGGGCCUGAGGAGGAAGGUAACUGUUUUAUUUCUAGAAUUCUACUUUUUGUACUGCUAAAUUGCUAAUUAUAUUACCUGAACAUGCAUUACGAUAGCCACAAUUCAAUCACCUUCUGGACUUCUUUUAUGAUAUUUAUUUAGUGAAUUUCUGUUUGAAAUAUAUUUUGCAAUAUAAUUAAGGCAACAGUUCUAUAACAUAAACAGUUGCCUACAAAUAUUUGGGGAAGUUUGCACCUGCAUUUACCAUUCUAUGUUCAAAGAGCGUUGGGCCUCCAUUCAAUUUUUCUUGGCAUUUAUGUUCCCGGGUUUCAACUUCUGUAGCAUCUGACCCCUAUUGAUGGGUUUUCAUCCAAGAAUUCUGUUUGUCGAUCAUUUGUCUGGCAUAUGAAACAUUCUUUCAAGGGCAUAUUUUGUAGCUCAGAAAAACAAUCAUCUUAGCCUACCCACACACCACCAAACCCUGUCACCCUCACCUACGCCUUGUGGAUGCCCACACUUACUCACAUUAUUAACUGUUGAAAUGAACUCAUAUGUAGGGGAAUGAGGUGCGGAAUCCUUCCGUCAAAUCUCCAUGUCCAAAACCAAACCAAGUGACUAAGGAUUUUAGAGUUGACCUUGAAUCGGUGUAGCACUUAAUCUCACACUCUUGGCAUUUUCUUUAAAACAUUUUUUCCAUCACGUGCCGAAGCUAUAGGUGACAAAAUCACUCUUAUAUAGUACCGAAUAAGUGCCCACACAUUUAUAUAGGACAACAAUCUUAGGAUCCAUUUGGCAUGGCUUUUGCUUUUGUUUUUACUUUUAUUUCAUGUAGAAGAGCUUUUCGGAUUUUUUUUUCAUUUUUGUUUGGAAACUAUACUUUUAAAAGAAUUUCUUAUUAGGACUGAGCAAAUCUUUCGAACCAAAUUCGACGGUUCUUGUCAAAUUAAAUACCCGAACGGGUAUCUGAAUUGAGAACCGACGGAUUUGGUUCGGUUUGUGGUUCUAGAUCAAGAACUGAAUAAGAACCGAAUCUUUCUAAUUUUUUUUUUAUAUUGAAUAAAUCAAAUUAUUUUAAUUUUAAUUUUUUCUAAACAAAUUAACAAUUUCUAAAUCCAAAUUUUUGGCCCAAUAAUUUAUUUCAUUUCUAAUUUUUUGCCCAAUUACCCAUUUUAUUGUUUUAUUUUUUAGCCCAACAAGAUCCAACCCAUUAAAUAACCUUAAACAUCUACACUAAAAUGCAUAACGCUGUCUCGACUCUCGUACUCACUCUCGCAGCCUCCUUGACAUUCCAAAACCUAUACAAUCGCCAGUCGACGCUCUGACCUCCGAUCAAAGCUAUGACUUCCGCCGAUCGAAGUUUUGACCAUAGCGAUCAUUUGAACAAGGUAAUCUACGAGUCUCUGACAUUCCAAAACCAUUGAAUGUGUCAUUAGUUGUAUUUAUAUAAUGGUGUUAUAAAUGUUAAAAAAUUUAAUUAUAGUACGGAAUCGAACAGAACCGAACGGAAUCGAAUCCGAACGAUUCCAUAAUUAUAUUUGGACCCAACGAUUUCAUUUACUAGAUACCCGAAAAGAGAAUCGAACCGACCCACGCCCACCUCUACUUCUUAUUCCAAAAGAACUUUUAGAGAAAGUCAUAUUAGUUGAGUUUCUUCUAAAAACUCUUCUAAAUAGAAGAAGUAUUUUAAUAAAAUUAACCAAAAUAGUUUAAAAGUAACUUUUGAGUCUCAAAAGCUCUUUUUGGGUUUUUAAAAGUCAUGUCAAAUGGGCCAUAAUGUGAAGACCUAAUGGUCUAUUUGGUUUGAGUUUUAAUUUUCAAUUUUGAGUUUAUUUUCUAUUUUCAGGGUCCAUUUUAAGAUUGUUGAAAACUUUUUUUGUUUGUCAUUUUGAAAAAUUAUUUCUCAAAAUGGAAAACUAAAACAUGUUUAUUUUGAAAUUUUAAGAAAUUGUCUUGUAACAUUUUAUUUGUGAUAUUUGAUUGUUCAGUAAAGUAAAGAAAUUUAUGUUAAUAAAUAAUCAGGUAAUAUAUAGAUUUUAAAGUUAGUGAAUAUUAGAAGAUUUUUUCUGCUACAACAGUAAAAUAAAAAUAAAUAAUAAAUUAAAUUGGCAAAACAUAGGAAAUUUAGUGUUAAGUAAAAUGUAUGUUUUUAAUGUUUUUAUUUAACCAACCAAGAAAAGCUUGAACUAUUUUUAUUUUUUAUUUUUUUUACAAUUUUUGGUUUCCUAGAAUUUUAUUUUUUAAGAAUUUAAGAAUAUUAUUAUUCUUUUUAAAUCUAAAAAAUUUUAUUUUAUAUUUUUUGAAUUUUAUAUAUAAUUCUUUUUCAAAAAGGAUAAUUAACACAAAAGGUCCUUACUUUUUAAUAUUGUGUAAAACGUCCUUACCUUUCAUUUUUUAGCAUUGUCGUCCUUAUUUCAACGUUUCAUUACAGAAAAUGUCAUUUUCACUAUUUUUAAUGUAAAAUGACCAAAAUACUCUCCCAUUUAAAUAAAACAAAAAAAAAGAGAAAAUAAAGAGUAAAUUACAAUCUUACUCUUAAAUGUUUUAAAAAGUGCAAGUGAAUCCAAAUAAUUAUUAAAAGGCCUAAUAGCACAAAACGUCCUUACGCUUGGCCUAUAAUGUGCAAAACGUCCCUAUGAUUCAAAUUGGAGAAAAUGAUGUUUUCCGCAAUAAAACAUGAAAAUAAUGAUGAAAAUACAAAAAAAUUGAAACGUAAGGACGUUGUCCGCAAAAGGCGUCAAACGUAAGGAUUUUUUUGCUAUUUGGCCUUAUUAAAAUAUUAAAAAUAUGAAAAAAAACUCUCUCUUCUUCUUCUUCUCCUAAUGGGUCAACCACUUUAGAACCUAAAAAAAUCCAGCAAACCACCACCCAAACUGCUGGACCACCAUACCACCCAAAAGCUCUCACUUCCCUCUACACUUACCACCCAACAUCCAACUUUGAAAACUUCAUGCUAAUAAAUUUGUUUGGAAUUGCAAGCCAAGAUGCCUAAUUCGCAAAUGCAAAUACUGGCAACAUCACCUGUUUCAUAGAGAUUCAUGUCAUUUUCAACAUACCAAUCGACUAGACUCACCAGGGCGCCUCUCUUCAUAGUCUUGAAAUAUCAACAAAUGGUUCAGCGAUAUUGAGGUUCUGCAGUUUGAGCGAUGGUUGGUCAGAGGUUUUUCACCUCUAAUAUGGCAGUCCCAUUUGGAGAAAAAGAGGAGAGCUUUUUUGUUAUUUUUAAUAUUUUAAUAAGGCCUAGUAGUACAAAAUGACCCUACAUUUGACACUUCUUGCGAAAAACGUCCUUACGCUUCAAUUUUUUUUGCAUUUUCAUCCCUAUUUUCACGUUUCAUUGUGGGAAACGUCAUUUUCACCAAUUUGAAACGUAUGGAUGUUUUGUCCACUAUAAGUCAAAUGUAAAGACGUUUUGUAUUAUUAGGCCUUUUAAUAAUUAUUUGGACUCACUUGCACUUUUUAAAACAUUUAGGAGUAAGAUUGUAAUUUAUUCUUUAUUUUUCUUUUCUUUUUUUUUUUAUUUAAAUUGGAGGGUAUUUUGGUUAUUUUAUAUUUAAAAGUGGUGAAAAUGACGUUUUCUACAAUGAAACGUUGAAAUAAGUGCGAAAAUGCCAAAAAAUAAGGUAUGGACGUUUUACACAGUAACAUUGAAAGGUAUGGACCUUUUGUGCUAAUUACCUUUUUCAAAAAUAUCAAACCAUUUAAAUUUUGAGUGUUUUGCAAAACUGAGAAAAGUGAACCCAAAUGCCUCCUAAGUUUCUGUAGUUUAGCAAGGGAUUAACUUUUUAUCACGUUAACCUUAUUGCACAACAUAGAAAUUCUUUUAUAUUUGUUGUUUGGUGUCUCUCAAAGUAGAAAGCCCAACUAAACUCCAUGUCUAGCAAUAUGGCUUUUUCCUAGGAAAUUUUCCAGAACCUAGGAUAUGGUUAUUAAUAGAAAUUUCUAAUAUUUUUAAAUGUUAAAUUUUGGAAAACAUAGAAGAAACACUUUGAUUAGGAUAAUAUAUUGGAUCAUUGCCUCUUUCAUCUCCCAUAGGUGAAAAGAGCACCAUCAUAGUGGUACUCCCUUAUUCCUUCCCAAAGUUAAAAAAUGACCUAACAGCUAACAAUUUGAAGUGGACAACUGGGGUAUGGAAAAUAUAUUUUUGCAUGUGUGUGUUUGUGCAUGCUUAUAAAAAUUUUGGAGGUCAAAUGUGAUGUACGAGCAUGUCUCAAAUUAGUUGACAUGUACCAGUCCAGUGGGGUCCUAGUUAUCCACCUGGAAGCAUCCCAAGCAUGGCAUGACUGAUUGACCGGUGAAUGACCAACCCUGGGAUCAGAUCAACCAGGAACAAGGUGAACUGGAUGACUAAGUCUGGCCAUGGGAAGGACCAACUCAGAAAAUGACCGCCAUAUCCGAAAUAUGGAAGAAUAGUCAUGAAGAGGGAGAUUGAUGGAAACCCCAUGACACAACCUAACUUGCAUUAAUGUAAAUGAAUGGAUCCACAAUGUAAUGACUUUGACUCAUCAUCAGAAAAGUGAAAAGUACAAGUCACUGAAAUCAAAUAUACAGAUAAUGGAAGCCCCAUGAUACAACCAAACUUGCAUUAACCGUAAAUGAAUGGAGCCACAGUGGCAUGACUUUGACUCAUCAUCAGAAAAGUGAAAAGUAUAGGUCACUGAAAUUGAUUCAGCACCAAUAGAAAUAUCCAAUGGAGAGUGAGAAAACCAAUCAGCGGGAAGAAGAAAUCAAAGGUAGAGAUGGUAGGAGAAGAAAACAGUAGAAGAAUAAUGGAAGAAGUGAGGAAACAUUCGCCACAAGCCACCAAAUAUUUUAUUCAAUCAUCAACUGUUUCAAUUUCACGACAAACUAGAUUUAAAUAGCGAGACAAAACCCUAAAGAGAACGGGCUUGGACCAAACCCCUUAUACGAGCCUAAUUACAUAAAUAAGAGUCCAAACAUAAAUAGAAGUCCAACUAGAAGAUUAAUAAAAUGAAUGUCCUCAUCAAUUCUUCCGGGGUGAGAGAAAACUCGACCCUGUCGAGUGGACAGAUCACGAGAGGCUGCAGGCAAUCUCCCAACCAUAAGCUAAGUGGUUGAGCAAGCUUCUUUCGACGUCUGUAAAAAUGUUUCAGUGAAGGUCUGAAUCUGGUGUCCUCACCAACUUUCCCUGAGUGAAUUGGAGGUUAUCUAGGCCAAGGAAGAUACUGCCGACUCCGAUGGAGCUCCAAUAAAUUUGGGUCAAGUUGCUGUAGUGCCUCUCUGGAAAUCCAUGUAUAGUCAGAAUCAGGUCGAUCAACCAACAAAUAAGGAAGCGUUAAACCUCUCCAUCAUUAGUCAGUGCAAUCUGUUCAUCUAAAAUAGCAUCAAUUUUAUCUUUGUGUGUUGUAAGGGGUGGUAUUGGGUUAGAAGUGGCAAGAGAAUCAGGAUCAAGGUCCAUAGAUGGAGGUAGAAGAGGAUCAUCGUAGGGAUUGGAAUAGCCUUUAUAAGCUACUAAGUCCUCAACAUUGAAAGUAGAGUGGUAUCCAAGUAGUGGUGGGAUGUCAACAACAUAUGCAUUUGGGCAAACAUGCCUUAAAAUUUUAAACGGACUAGCAAUAUAGGCUUAAAAUUUAAAGGCAGGUCCAGGAAGACGCCACUCCGGUCUAAUUCAUACCAUAGCGUAAUCCCUAAUGUUAAACUCAGCAUGUCGUUUAUGUAAAUCAGCUCGAAGUUUAUAAGAUGCAUUACUGGCUUCAAGUUGUUUAUUGAUCUCAAUAUGCAAGUUAUAAAGAUAUUGUGCAAAUGCCUCAGCUAAUAUAGACACUAACAUGUGGGGACAUGGAAAUGAGAUCUAGAUUUCGUAGGCUUAAACUCACGAACAACUUCAAAUGGACUCAUACCUAAGGAUCGAUUCAUAGAAUUGUUAUAUGCAAUUUGAGCUGUAGGAAUAAUCAAAUCCCAAUUCCUAAGAUUUUCCUGGACCAAACAUUUUAACAAAUUAUUAAGACUACGGUUAACCACUUUCAUUUGACCGUCAGUCUGAGGGUGGUAGGCCGUAAAAGCUUCAAUUUAGUACAACAUUUUGCUACAAUGUUCUCCAAAAAUGGCUAGUGAAACAAACAUAUCCAUCUGAUACAAUGGUCAUAGGAAGUCCAUACAAUUUGACAAUUUCAUUAAAGUACAACGUUGCAACCUUGGACUCAUCUGAGGUCUUGCUACAAGGGAUAAAAUGGGAUAUUUUUGAAAAAUGAUUAGCGACCACAAAAAUAGAAUCAUGUUUCUUUCGGGUGCGUAGAAGUCCUAACAUAAAAUCCAUUCUAACAUCUUUCCACGAGCAAUUAGGGAUGAGAAGAGGUGUGUAUAGGCUAGUGUUUUGCCUCUUCUGUUUGGCCAACAGACAAGAGUUACAUGUGCUAACUAUCUUAGCCACAUCUUUCUUUUAACUACGACAAUAAAAUUGACGUUUAACCUCUUUGAUGGUCUUAUUACGCCCAAAGCAACUGGCUAAACUUCCCGCAUGAAUUUCCCACACUAUGAAAUCCCGCACCGAAAUUCGGGGGAUGCACAAUUUAUUGGAUCUAAGAAGGUAACCCUUCUCAAGACAAAAACCAACCGCAGUAUCUAAUCGUCCACCGUGCACAUCAAAAAAGAUAUCCUUAAAAUUAGGACAUGUUUCGUAAUCUUCCUUUAGUUUUUCAAAACCUAUGACCUUGACGCUCAUGAUCGACAAAAGGGAAAUACGACAACUUAAAGCAUCGGCAGCUUGGUUCUCUACACCCUUCUUAUGUUUCAAAACAAAAUAAUAGGCUUGCCAAUAUUUAAUCUAGGGAUCAUGCCUAGAAUUCGACCUUUUCUGGGAGUUGAGAUGACAGAAGGUCUCAUGAUCCAAAUAAAGAACAAACUCUUUGGGCAGCAAGUAAUGGCGCCACUAGCACAAAGCCUGUACAAUGGCAUACAAUUCCUUAUCAUAAGUUGAGUAGCGUUGUUUGACAUCAUUUAACUUCUCACUGAAGUAAGCAACAUGAUGGGUUCCCGACUAAGGACUCCAACUAUUUCUACCCCAGAGGCAUCACACUCGACUUCAAAGACUUUGGAAAAGUCGGGAAGACGCAUGAUAGGGACUUCUGUCAUUCACUUCUUGAUUAGCUUAAAAGCCUUAGCCGUCUCUUGUGUCCAAUAAAACUCCCAUCUCUUGAUGCGCUCCAUAAGAGGUGUCAUGAUGGUGUUAAACCCCUUGAUAAAGCGACGGUAAAAUGUGGCUAUGUCGUGAAAGCUCCUGACAUCAUGUAUAGUCUUAGGUUCAGGCUUAUUAACAAUUGCCUGAAUUUUGGCCAGAUGAGUAUAUACCCCGCAGAAGAUACAAUGAAUCCUAGGAAAACAACUCUAUCGGUGAAGAGAGAAUAUUUCUUGACAUUAGCAUACAGUUUUGUCAUGCGAGGAGUAGAACAAACCUGUAUGAGAUGAUUUCGGUGGUGUUCCUUAGUUUUACUAUAGAUGAGAAUGUCAUCAAAGUAGAAAACGAGGAACAUACCUAUAAAAGGUCGAAGAGUUUGUGUUAUGGCUCACAUAAUGGUACUUGAAGCGUUAGUUAGCCCAAAAGGAAUGACCAAUCACUCGUAAAAAACCAUCUUUCGCCUUAAAAGUAGUUUUCCACUUAUCACGUGGACGGAUUCUAAUCUGGUGAUAUUCGGAUCAAUCAUAGAAAAUAUUGUAGUACCUACCAUUAUAUCUAACAUAUCGUCAAGCCUAGAAAUGGGAAAGCGAUAUUUCACCAGGAUCUGAUUGAUGGCACGACUAUCUACACACAUUCUCCAAUAGCCAUCUUUUUUAGGAGUCAAUAGGGCGGGGACUACACAAGAGCUUAAACUCUCACGGAUGAACCAUUUGUGAAGGAUUCAUCUACUUUCCUUUGGAGUUAAGCAUAUUCUGUAGGAUUCAUCCUAUAAUGAGACAAAUUUAGAAGGGACGCCCUGGGAACAAAAUCUAUGGCAUCUUGAAUGUCACGUAGAAGAGGUAACUGGUCAGGUAAGUACUCUGGAAAGAUAUCCCGAAACUCGUGAAAGAAUGACCGAACUUCAGCAGGGCUCUCUGUUGUGGAGCUCAAUGGAACCUACAUAAUAACCACAGCAAAUACAAUUGAGUCACCACCAAGUGUACGCUUAAACUCUAUAGGGCUAAUGAUAUGUAACCACUUUCGCUCAACACUUUUCUUUGUUUCCUGUGAGCUAAUAGGUUUUGGGGUAGUGGGUUAAGAUGAAUUUUCUUACCAUUAAACAAAAAGGUACAAGAAUUGGAUCGAAUAUAGAUGGUUACAUCUAGAUCGAACAAACAAGGUCGCCCCAAGAUGAUGUGCCUGACAUCCAUUGAAAUGACGUCACACCAUAUAUGAUCCUUAUACUCGAGGAACUGGAUAGGAACUAAACAACGCUCGUUUACAACUAUAGAAGACGUAUCAACCCAAGACACGCUGUAUGGCUGAGGGUGAGGAACUGGUUUCAACCCAAGAUGGGAUACAGUAACCAUCGAAAUCGCAUUAAUGCAACUACCACUAUCCACAAUAACUUUACAGCCCUUAUUGUUAAUCUUGAUGUAAGUGUGGAAGAUGGCAUGACGACGCUAAUCAUUGGCAUCCUUGGAUAGGGUAAGGGUACAACGUACGACACCGACUCUAGGCGUGUUGGGAGUAAGGGAAAGGGUCUGAAUACAACCUAAAAAGAUAUCUUCAUUAUUAUCCAAGUCAUCAAACUCUUCCAGCUUAAGGUUAUAAUCUUGGUCCUCUAACGGUUCUUCGACUAUACCCUCACGUUCUUUCAUGACUAGGGCUCGGCUAGGACAUAUAGAAGAAAUGUGACCAAAACCCUUACAGUUAAAGCAUUGCAAAUGGGAAGAUGCUCUAGAAACUUUCGAACCUUUACCUUUAUUUUCUGAUACAGAGGCGGGGGGGCCUUGAAAUAGACUUAGGAGAAGGAGUGGACACAGAAGAGAUUGAAGUGCGGGUGUCACUACGAGUUCUAUACGGUGUCCUAGUCACUAACUCGUAAUCUCGAACAAAAGAGCAGGCAUGUCGAGAGUGGUAACACCUCGAAGGACAAACUCACGCCUAAGAUCAUCCCAUACUCAUUAUCUCACACAAUACCUGCUUACUCAACCCAUGUGGGAUGAACAUUAUCUGUUCUCUUUGAUUUGAUUGUAAGUUUUGAUUUAAAUCCUACUUUCUGGUUAAUUUCCAGGUCCUAAAACUGUGAAACUUUUUGCCAACAAGGAGCAUAUGGGAUUCAGGUAAUGGUUGAAGUUUUGUUAUUUAUUUUUGGUUGGACAGGCCUCCGUUAACUGCUUGUUUUCCUCUAAUAUUUGAAGAGAAUUGUUAAUAUAUGCAGCAAUGUUAAUGACUACCCUCCUAGUGACACUGUUGUUUUGUCUGAGGAUGAUCUCAAGGUAAAUUUCAGUGCUUGAUAUAUUUCACCAUUAUUCUCCUGCGUAAGAUGGGAUUUGCCUGGGUACGUUAGUUGUUAUAGUCAAAAUUGUCACCAAAAUAUCGAGCUAAAUAUACUGCAUCCCUACAGGGAAAACCAGUUAUCUUGAAGUAUGUUAAGUUUCAAAAUGUUCGCAGGUAAGUUCAUUUUCUCAUUGCCAUUGUCAUCCUAACAUAAUCGUUUCAGGCUUAAGAAUGAAAUUCUAACUAAAUAUUCUUAAUCAGUUUAACAAUUUUCAUUGAGGAUAAUCAAUCUGGUUCUGAUAUUACAAAAGUUCAAAAGAUUGUUCUCUGUGGAACAACGUAAGUGUCUCAUUUUUCUCUUGUUUCCCUUCUGUUUUAUUUAAGAUUUUGUACUCUUUGCUUAAUCAUGUUUCUGUUUGAUGAUUGAAUUCUGGGUAAUAUGUUAAAUGGAAUAUCUCAUAAAUGGAUUUGACAUGUUGCUGAACUACUAAAGUUUCGUCGAGAAUCCAUAUUUACUAUUCUUUUCUCCUUUCAGGGCAGAAGCAUGCUAAACCAAAACAUCUUUCUUGUUGGAUAAACUUUAUUCUUUUAUCACUGUGCUCUAUUAGUAAGAUUUUUCAAGCUCUGUAGGUAGCAUUCAUUAUAUCGCUAAUUGAUUUAAAUUGGAAUAAAUGAUGCCCUGAGAUUUGUAAAAAGAUUGAAAUCUCAUAAUUCAACAUGAUAGAUGAUGCUGGUAGAGGGUGUGUGUUCUGUUUCGCUUGAAUUCAGGGUGUCAUGUGAUUUGGUUGUUAAUAAGUGUAGAACCUAUAAUAUUUAGUCUAUAUGAUUUUAAGUAACCAUUUUUAUUUUUAGAUUUAUGCAUAAAAAAUUGAGAUUUUUCACUGACAUUUAGUUAUGAUGUGCUUCAUUGUGUGUAAGCUUAAUCUGCUUAAAUGCGAAACUGUGUUGUGUUAUUAGAUAUGUAAUGUUUCAUGGUGGAUGAUUUUGGUUAUGUGUGCUUCUACUACAGGGUGGAAACUACAGAUAUGAAAGGUUUAAAAAAGAUCGAGGAUCACUGAAUCCAUAAUUUGCCAGAGGAGAGAGAUUAUCUUUGCAUCUGAAAGCAUUUUUAGCAUCUCUUUCUCAUCAAAACAAAUGCAACGAGAUUUUUUCUUGUUAAAGAAAAAUCUAGGGAUAUACUUAAUACAAGGUUAUUUGUGGCAUUUGUAGUCUUUUCAAAUUUUCAUUCUAUGUUGAUUUUCUGUUUAUGUUAAUUGGAGACAAGUUGGUAGAAUAACUGUUUUUUGGUUUUAGCCUAUUUGUGGCAUCUUUGGUGAGGUAUAUUGGACAGAAUGGAAUUUGAUGUGCUGGUUUGAUUGGUUGCUCGAAGGGCUAUAUGCUUUGACCAACUGCCUUUGUUUUAGUGGAAAUUACUACGCAUGGUUGUUAUAUUAACAAUUAGUCGUGGUGGUGGAGCUAAAACUUUUACUUGGCGCACUAUUUACUACUAGUCCCUAUCACAUGCGUUGCACGAAUUUUGUAUUUAUUGUAUUUUUAUUAGUGUAUGAAUUUUAGUUUUUUUGGAAAGUUUUUGAAGCAGAAUUUAAAAAAUUUUUCAUGAUAUAAGAAAAUAAUUGUAAAUUAUUUUUACAAUUGCAUAGCAGUAUGUUAUUUAGAAAAAAAUAUACUUGUGUAUUUCAUGCUUGAAUGAGAAAUAUACAAACUAUUUUCUCCUGUCAUCAGGUCACCAACUUCCUUGACCUUCCGUCACUGGGCAGGCGUCAGCCCUCAUACAUGGUCUUACGACUUUGCGGAGACCUUUUACCUUUUUUCAUGUCCGAUCUCGCAUUCUCGAAGCUUCUUGUUCAUAUCUCUCAUCAAAAGGUGCUAUUCGAUAAUGUCUGUCUAGCAGACCCCCUGCUAACCCGAGCGAACAUUCAAAUAUCUGUCCUACAUUCAUUCGUGAAGGUACUCCUAAUGGGUUGAAAACCAUAUCAACAUGUCUUCCAUCUUGCAGACAAGGCAUAUCUUGUCUAGGCAAAAUUUUGGAAAUGAUACCUUUACUUUCGUGUCUUUCAGUUACUUUGUCGCCUACUUUAAUUUCGCGUUUCUGUGAAAUAUAUAUCUAAUCUACACUAAGAAACAAUAAUAUUGUUAUUGGUUGUUUGUCAACUCCAGUCCAAAUAUCUAUAGAAUAGAUUAUUGCUAGGAUUUUAAUCCAUAUAGAUAUAGAAUUCAACUUAAUUUAUUGAUCAUUACAUAUAAUUCAAUUAAGAUAUUGUAUGAAAGUAUGAUUUCUUCUAUUCUCCUUUGAGAAUUGGAGGAUUUUUGAUUGGGUGGGUGCAAAGAACAGGUUCAAAAUCACGAUCAAUUCCUUUUUCAAAUCCUGCUGUAGCUGCACGAGCCCUUCCCGUGUGCCACAAAUGACCUACGAAGAAAAAGAAUUCUAGAACAAAAUUUUGUUUGUAUUAUUUGAUAGUGUUAAUAUGAUUGAAUUGAAUGUGAAGUUUAUAUUUCUAAAUUUUGAGUAAUUCAAUAUUGUAAAAUUGAAAAAAAAAUAUCCGCACAGUGUGGAGUAAAAAUAAAAAAUAAAAAAAGGUGUGGAGAGAAAAAACUCUCUUCACACAGUGCGAAGAGAGUUGAAUCAUGUGUAGAGAGUUGGCAAACUCUUCGCACAAUACAGAGUAAAAAAAAACUCUUCGCAAAGUGCGGAGAGAAGACAAACUAACUCUCCGCACAGUACGAAGAGCAAAAAAAAUCUCUUCGUACUGUGCGGAGAGUUGGUCCGCACAAUGCGUAGAGAAUUGAAUCAUGUACGGAGUAAAAAAAAAAGUACGGAGAGAGUUGAACCAUGUGUGGAGAGUUAGCAAACUCUUCGCAUAGUGCGGAGUAAAAAAAAACUCUUCGUACAGUGUGAAGAGAUGACAAAUCAGCUAUCCGCACAGUACAGAGAAAAAAAACUCUCCGCACAGUGUGGAGAGUUGUUUUCAAAUUCCUUAAUUAAAAGUCAAAUUUCAAGAUUGUAAAUUUUUCAUAUAUACAACGAAACAGAGUCGAAAAAUAUGGUUCAAAAUCAAUUAUGUUUUCUUUAAAUUUCAAUCACAGCUCAAUUUCUGAACAUGCAAAUCAUAUUUAUGGUAUUGGAAAUGAGCUUUCUCGUGAUUCAUAUAAUGAAACAAUAUAUGAGUUGUGCAAAGAAAUAGAUAUUGAUAGUACUAUGGCAUUGCUUUCACAAAUGGAGACUCUAGGGUACCAUUCAAAUUCAAUAUUUUAUAUUUGCUUGAUAACAGCUUUUGGAUAUUAGAAGAGGAUACAAUUUUCAAUUAAAUUAUACUUUCGUGUUGUAGGCCAAGAAUUAAAAUGUUCAAUGCAUUGCUCAAAAGUUGUUUGAGAAAAGACUUUUUAAAACUUGUGGAUAAAAUUUGGAAAGUUUUUGUUUUUCUCUUCACACUGUGCGGAGAGAUAGUUUGUCAUCUCUCUGCAUUUUGCGGAGUUUUUUUUUUUUGCUCAUGUACGGAAAUUUUAUUUUUUUGGUCUCAUAGAGUUUAUAUGUACUAAAAUUAUUAUUAUUUUUUUAAUGUCGUUGGCAUGAUGCGUGUGUGGAAGAAUAUUUGUCAAUUACCAUAAACAAAAUUCUUCACAAAAUUCAAAAAAUAAAAAUGCAUAAUAAAUCUUCUCGUUACGCUAGUAAAAUUACAAUAAAUUUUUUUUUACAAAUAACAUAAAAAAAUCAUUUUUAUCUUCAGUUAAAAAACACAUUUAAAAAUUAACAAUUUCAUAGCCAUUUUUUUUUUUAAAUUUUCGGAAAUACAAUUGUGAAAAAGGAAAUAAUAUUGAAUUACAACAUUUAAUACUUAAAAAAUUUAAUAUUAAAUAAAUUUUAUACAUUUAUAACAAAUUAUAAAUCCAUAUAUGCAGCUUAUCGUAUAUACAGUCUACCAUAUUUGCAAACAACUUACCGUAUUUGUACUUUAUCGUAUUUGCACCUUACCGUAUAUGCUGCUUACCGUAUUUGCAACUUACCGUAUUUGCAACUACCGUAUUUUCACAUUAUCGUAUUUUUUCAUCAUAUCGUAUAUGCUGCCUACCGUAUUUGCAACUUACUGUAUUUUUAUAUACCGAUUUUUGCAUUUACAAAUAUCAAGAAUGUAGAACACCGUACAUUCACUUACCUAACCGAAUUUUUAAAAAAAAUUCAAAUUUUUAUUUUUUCAACAUAAGUAUAAAAUAAAUAUUAAAUAUAUAUGAAACACAAAAUGUAAAUACCUAUGAAUAUGGUGCUCAAUCUUCAAUUUUUCAAUAUUGAAUUACAGAAAAUUUAGAAAUAUAAUUUUCAUAUUCAACUCAAUCAUAUAAACACUAUCAAAGAAUACAAGUAAAAUAAUUUGAAUAAUCUCGUAUAUUUUUUAUUCAUGUAUGAAAUAUACAAGUAUAUUUUUUUUAGAUGACACAAUACUGCUAUGCAAUUGUAAAAAUAAUUUACAAUUAUUUUCUUAUAUCAUGAAAAUAUUUCUAGAUAUUGUUUCAAAAACUUUCCAGAAAAUAAAAAUUCAUACACUAAUAAAAAUACGAUAUAUGCAAAAUUCGUGCAACGCACGUGACAGUCAUUGUGCGGAGAGUUUUUUUUUUUUUUUUUUUUUUAAAUAUGAAAAUAUUUCUAGAUAUUGUUUCAAAAACUUUCCAGAAAAUAAAAAUUCAUACACUAAUAAAAAUACGAUAUAUGCAAAAUUCGUGCAACGCACGUGACAGUCAUUGUGCGGAGAGUUUUUUUUUUUUUUUUUGUAUAACUUCGCACUGUAGUGAGAGUUUGCCAACUCUCCGCACCGUGCGAAGAUUUUUUUCCUUUUUUUACUCCGCACUGUAUGGAGAGUCCACACUUUGUGAGGACAGUGUUCGCACAAAUUGUACGGAUUGUCUGUACAGAAUGUCAUCUCUUUGCACCGUGCGAAGGGAUUUUCUUUAUAUUUUUUUUUUACUUCACACUGUACGAAGAGUUGGAACUCUCCACACAUGGUUUGUCAUCUCUCCACAUUAUGCGGAGAGUUUUUUCCACAAAUAGUUUGCCAUCUCUCCGCACUGUAUGGAGAGUUUAUUUUUUUUUAAAGCUCAUGUGAGAAGAUUUUUUUAUUUUUAUUUAUUCAUUUAUUAUUAUUUUUUUGUUCAUAGCAGUUUAUAUUUACUAAAAUUAUUAUUAUUAUUUUAAUAUUAGUGGUAUAAUGUGUGGAAGAACAUUUGUUUGAUAUAAUUAUUUUUUUAAUGCUAGUGGAAUGAUAUGUGGAAGAACAUUUGUUUGACAUAAACAAAAUAAAAAAUAAAAAAUGACAUCAUGUAUAGUAAAAUUGGAUUCGUUUACUAUUGCAUAAAUAGUAGACCCCUCUUCCUUUUUUUAUUAGAAGUUAGACAAUAGUUAUAAUAAUAUUAAGUUUUUGUUUGAUGAGAAUUGAAAUUAGAUUUUUAUUAGAUCUUAAUAAAAAUUGAUAAAAUGUGUGGUUGACAAGUUGGGGAUACUAUAAAAUAUGUAGUUAAAAUUAAUUGUUGACUUUGACUUUGAUUAAAAAUCUGAAUUUUAAUAUUUAUCAAAUAGGGUUUAAAUGAUAUCUAUAUUUUUAAUACUAUUCAAAAAGUGCAAUUCUGUGAGAGAGAAUUCAUUUUUGGUUUUUCAAUUCUUGGAACAAUGCAUGUGUGAUAUUUACAUAUUUUUAAUUACUAACCCUAAAUUUAAAUGGUGAUAUUAUCAGAAAUCCUAAGUUAGCACAGGCUAAUGAAUUUUCUUUUCGUAGCUUGAGAAAAUUACGACAAUAACAAGCUUAUAGAACAACUCUAUUCCUCAUAACUAUAUAUUUUGGGUCCUUUUUUUUUUUUUUUAUAAAUAAUUGAAAGAUACAGAAGAAGAGUGGAAACUUGUUAUGAGCAAAGCAAGCCUCGACUUUGUGACAAUGUUUAGCCCCCGUUUGCCCCCUAUUAAUUUGAAUUAUAAUGGGAGGAAUAGUGUUUUUUUUUUAAAUGAGUUGUUGUAAAAGAAUAAAAAGUUUUCGAUUUACGUAAAAUAUUAUUUUAUUAAAAAUUGUGUGGUUAAAAAUAGUGAAAGAAAAAUUUAAUUUAAAUUGAUGAGAAUUAAAGAGGGCAAACGGGGGCUUAAUAUUAAACCGCACUAUUUACACUGUAAUUCUAGUGCACUCUAGACAAAACCUGCACAUAUGAUUAUAACUCGCUGUAAGUUUAGCUUGACUUAUUUUUUUUCCUAUACAGAGUAACAAGAAAUAAAGGCAUAAGAUUCUUAUAUCCCACUCCAUUAAGACAUGGAAAUAACUAAAUGCUUUUGUGGAAGUAAUAUUUUAAAAAUCAUUUUUUAAGUUGACUCUCAUAUCUCACUCCCCAAAAAAAUAAAAAUAAAAAUAAAAAUAAAAAGAAAAAAAGUGCUUGUGUGGAAGUGAUGUUUUAAAAAUUACUUUUCUCCACUUUCUUUUCAAUUACAAAUUCCCCCUACACACACACACAUAUAUCACUCCCCAAAAAAUUAAGAAAAAAAUGAGAAGAAAGACAGAGUGCUCGUGUAGAAGUGGAAUUUUAAAAAUCACUUUUCUCCACUUUCUUUUCAAUUACAAAUUCAUAUAAAUAUAUAUAUUCCGUUAAUUUUUUCCUACUUUUUGUCGAUACAUUCUCCAGGAAAAUCGCUUUUCAAAUAAUCUCCCCCACACUAAAUAAAAUAAGUCAUUAGAUUUUCAAUCAGGAGCUAUUUAGUAAUUAUAAAAAUAAAAGGGUAAUUAUAAAAAUUAAUGGUGAGAACCACCAUAUUUCAUUUUGGCAUUUGAUGACACAAUCAGAGAACAUAACCGGAGAGAGAUAAGAAUCUGGAAAAUGAAUUCCCUUCUUGUUUUAAAUGAAAAAUAAAAUAAGCAUUUAAGUAGUUAGAAUUGUUAAAUAUGCUGUUUUAUCCAACAAAUGCACAUAGUAUGUUGAAGAAUAAUAGAUACUCUACUGCUCUCCACUAGAACCCGUUCCCCCACGAAUGCGUUUCUGCAGAUGUUCCAAGCUAGAGAUUCUCUGCAUCGAAACUGUUCUUCCCAUCUUGUUCCGCGCACCUGCUGCAUCAUUCUGUUGUACAUUAUCUGCUGGAGGAAUAUCUAUCGAACCAUUUUGGAACCUAGGAUCACCAGUCGAUGUAGAACUUUGAUGAUAGCACUGUUUUGUGUCAUCUAGCACUUGUACUGGUACAGCAGCAUCUGCUGAGGUUUCAGAUGGACUACCAGCAAAAGAUGGCAUGCCCAUUGUGGAUAUCUCGGACAUGGAUUGGAACAGUGGGCCUAAACCUGUUACUCUUUUAACAGCCUCUUCUGCCAUUUUUACCUGUUACUUUCCGAAAAAUCAACAUCUAAUGAAUACUUCUAUUAAGAUCAAAGAAACCUAAAUCCAAUAUUUUUCCUAGCCCGUUUAUUUAGCUAAAAAAAUCGAUAAAAAUCUAAAUCAAAGUCAAUAAUUAAUUUUAAUCAUACAAUUUAUGGGAUUACAAUUUUUCAACCACAUUUCAUAAACUUUUAUCAAAAUCUACUAAAAAAUUCAUGCAACUUUUCUUAUUCAGGAGCAGUACAUUUAUACAGCAUUUUGGAUUCAUUUAAUCCGUAUAAUAGUGGAUCAACAAGAAAAGUAAACAAAUUUUUAUCCUGAAAUUCAUAAUAAGAGACCCAUCUGUGACUCUUGUGCCUAAGUUCAUGAAUUAUAAGGAUAAAAUCACUAUAUAGUUUUCAGAAUCCCAGUUAAGUGUUAAUCUUACCUUAGCUCUCAAUGUCUCAACAUCAGCUUUCAGAACUCUAUUGUCUACAGCUGCUUCAUUGUACUUUUGGCUUAUAUCAGAGAGUUUCUUCAUCAAAGAAGAGUUUUCAACUCUUAACUGGGAAACCUGGAAGAAGCAUGAGCUAUAUCUCAAUAAACAAAUCAUCAGAAUACCAUGGUAAAUGAAGAUGAUGAGACUCAAGAAAUAUACUUGUGUCUCGAGCUCGGUCAAAUGGGCCUGCUUUCUUCUUCUUGAGCGUCUUGCAGAUUCCCUGUUUGAAAGCAUUCUGAAAAGGAAAACAAAAUAAUUUGAUAAAAGAACUGUUUUUACAAUUAUAACAAUGUACAUCAAGGAUCACACAGUAAUUUAGAACUUCAUAUACAUCCAUAUAUUCAUAUCCUGUAAAGCACCGAAUAUAACUAUGAUUAAAUUAUUUAAAAUUCUUCAUUUACAUAAUAUAAAUUUAGUUUUAUACUUAUUAUUAUUUCCCUCGUCGAAAUCUUUUAAAUAUCUCACCUAAUUGUUAAUUAUAAUAACUUCGAGUUAAAAAUAUAUAUUAUUUAUGAUAGAGUUUAUAUCAUAUUUAAAUUAUAAAAAGUUGGAAGGCAUGUGGCGGAUGCAUUGGCAUUAUGAAAAUAAAAUUACCACAUACAAAAAUCAAGAACCUUGUUAUUGUUGAAAUUAAGUUAUUUAUAUAUUACUCCACAAGUAUCAUCCCUUACUAUAGGUUAUUCUCCAGCUCACCAGGAACUUGCUACCAUAUGCUUUUGAUGAAGAUUUUAAUAGAUACCAGAUUCAAGACUUAACGAUGAAUACACAUUUAUUUCAGGGAGAGAGAUUGUGAUUUAGUUUAAGUGAUUUCCUAUUUUUCUAUAUUCAGAUAUAUUUUCAUUUUAAGCUUUUAGGUUUACGAGAGACAACUUUUCAUUUCUUUUAUUAGGACUUUAAGCACAAAAGGUAUUUAAAUUAUAUAGACUAUCGAAUGGAAUAUUGCAGCGUUGAUCAAUAGAGUAUGGUACGAGUUGGUCCUCAACCCUUAAAAUGAGCAAUCAGUCCUCAACCUUAAUCUGUUGUCACACGUUUUCUAAAGCCUCAAAAAAUCCUAAUUAGCCAUCUUUUAAACUAACUAGCCGAUUACACACUUAUUUUGAUUUAAAUGAGAAAAGGAAAAAAGGGGGAAAAAAAGGAAAGGAGAAAUGCAUCCUCUCCCGCAACCCCCCACCCACACCCUGGCCCCUUUCCAAACUACCACAAAAAAAUACGUAACCCAAUCCCACCACCAGACCCCAACCUCACAUCCUUCUAACCACUGCCACCCAGCCAUCAUUCCUGCAACUCACUCCACCUCUAGCGUCCUUAAUACCUAUGUCACCUCCAACCACCUGUCCACGAAAAUCAAUGAAGCUACAGAACCAAAGGGUUGGGGCCGGCGUUCGCAAUAUAAAUAAAUUGGACCAAAUUGCAACAAGGUCCAUAUGUCGGGGACUCACGGUGAAAAUUUCCACUUUAACAAAAAAGGUUGCCAUUGUUGGCAAGAAAAAAAAAUCUUGCUAUUUUUUGUGGGUGGUAAAAAACAAAAAAGGAAGUUUCGAAAUUGCUCAAAACAAAAGAGGUUACCAUUCAUCGAAACAAAAUAGAGUAAAAAAAAAAAAAAAAGGUUGAAAAAAGCUAUAGCAGACAACGUCUAUAGAGCACAUUCAAUGAGUUCAACAACAAUACGACCCUUAAGUAUAUUUGUCUUCUCCUAAAUACUAAAUUUAGGUGCAUGUUCAUUUUAUUUGACAGUAGCAGUACUAUUAUGCAGUUCCAUAAAAGUUCUCUCUACAGAUUACAGAUCAAGAUGCAGUCAUCCCCCUACCAUGAGAUAUAUAUUAUGAAAUCAAUCUUGUGUGAUUGCACAUAUUCUUGAGCAAUUAGCUACUAAAAGAUAUUCUUUUCAUACCUCCGUACGCGCUUUGCAUCUGCAGGGUCCAUAUUCAGAGUUGUUUCAGUUUCUCCUUCACCCUCAUCAUCAUCUGAUUGUUCUCCAGAUGAACCACUUGUUGUUGACUUAACCUGAGCCCCAGAUUUCUUAGGCACUGCAGGCAGGCAAGAUAACCCAAGUGUUCCACUGGCAUCCUUAUCUUCUCCCACUGAUGAUACAUGCCCAGCUCCUUAAAAGGAUUGGGGAAAAGAAAAACAGAAAAUAAUGUCAGUAAUGGCUUUGACCUUCAGAGUACACCAAGCCAUUAUCAUCUGUUUUUAUCAAUAGAUAUAGAUGAACUCCUGGACAAUAAGCAUACAUACGAUGAAAGUAUUGUAUUAUUUUACUUGUCAAAAGUCGAGGUGUUCAAUAACAGAAAAAUAUGCCAAUUGAAAUCAAAAUCAAUAUUCUGGAUUUUUAUUUCUCAAUGAAAAAUACAUUCCCAAUACCUCCUACUUAUACUAUACAAUUCAAACAAGAAAAGGAAAACAUAAUUAUCUAAGGAAAUAAAUCAACCUACCAAUUAACCUAAAAUCACAAUCUUUAAUUAAUUACAAUUUCCAUCUGUAACUCCUUUCCAUACACGGUUUCCUACACUCCCACUCAAGUUGAACUAUAGAUGUUAAUCACGUUCAACUUGAUGUUGAAAUCGUUGAAGCUUUGUCUUGACAGUCCUUUGGUUAACAUAUCCGCGGUUUGUUAAGUUGUAGGAACAUAUGUCAUACAGAUAAUCCCAUCUUAUACCUUUUCUUUGAUAAAAUGUUUGUUCACUUCUAUAUGUUUGGUUCAGUCAUGUUGUACUGGAUUGAGAGAAAUACUGAUGACUGCUUUGUCGUCACAAUAAAGUUUGAUUGGGAGUUCCACAUUUACUUUAAAUUCUUUCAAGAGUUUUUUUAUCCACAUUCCCUCACAAAUUUCUUCGGCCACGGCUCUGAAUUUAGCUUCGGCACUACUUUUAUCCAUUACAUUCUAUUUCUUACUUCUCCAGGUCACUAAGCUUCCCCAUACAAAUGUACAAUAGCCCGAAGUAGAUCUUCUAAUCCAGCCCAAUUAGCAUCAAUGAAUACUUCUACUCCGAUCCUUUUAUUUUUUUCAAAAAAUAAAAUCUUCUCCCAGAAGUGCCUUAUAGAUAUCUGAGAAUUUUGUAUACUGCUUCUAGAUAAGCUUCUUUAGAAAAGUACGUGUUGACUUACCACAUUAACUACGAAAGCAAUAUCGUCUAGUGUGUGAGAGAUGAUUAACUUACCAACCAGUUUUUGGUAUCUGUCUAUUUCCACUGGGCUCCCUGUGUCUUUUAUUUUUCUAGAUUCAAUAGGGGCGUCCUAGCAUGCCAGUUUCUCUGAGUAGAUCAAGAAUGUAUUUCCGUUGAGAUACACUAAUACCCUUUUUCUAUCUUGCAAUCUCCAGCUUCUUGUACAGUGUGCAAUCAUCUACGCAUUUCCAUUCCUCCUCAACACUGAGGUCUAAUUCUUGCCAGAGAGCUACCAUUUACAUAUAAUAAUCAGUCACGUCUCUUGAGCCUUGCCGGUCUGCCACAAUCGGGUUUUAAUUUCAAAUAUGUGUGAUGAAUCUUCCACAUCAAAGUAAGUAUCUUUUACUGAAUCGCAGAUGUCUUUUGCGGUUGGGAGGAAGAGAUGAGUUUUUCCAAUCGCCAUUUUCACCGAAUUUACCAACCAAGCUAUUACCAUGGAGUUUUCGGACUUCCACUUCUGCAAUAUCACAAUGCUGGUCGAUUUCUUGGUUUCGCCAAUAAGAUAACCCAAUUUUAAUUUACCGUCUAUUACUAAUUUUAUGGAUUGAGCCCACUCUCGAUAGUUCCUUACAUUCAAUUUUUCCACCAUGAGUUGGAAGGAAGAAUUCUCUAGCCCAUUUGAGCUGAUUGAAGAACUGACCUCUACUUCGAAUACUGAAGUUGCAAAGGUCGUCGACUCUUGGCAGUUAGCGGAGAAUUCCGCCAUUGAGUUGCUAAGUUGGAGAAACCACGGUUCUUAUAACAUGAAAUCAAAAUCAAUAUUGUGGAUUUUUAUUUCCCAAUGAAAAAUUCAUUCCUAAUACCUCCUACUUAUACUAUAAAAUUCGAACAAGAAAAGGAAAACAUAAUUAUCUUAGUAAGGAAAUAAAUCAACCUACCAAUUAACCUAAACUCACAAUCUUUAAUUAAUUACAAUUUCCAUCUGUAGCUCCUUUCCAUACAAGGUUUCCUACAACAAUUCAGAAAAAUGAUGCAAUCAAGAGGAUCUUGAGAGGAAUGAUUGCAUACAUAUAAUUGAAAGACUUCAUUUACGUGCACGAUUUCGGAAGCUGUGGGGAAAAUAUGUAACUUUGACAUCAGUCGGUCCACAGACAACUAAAUUCACCAAAAUACACCAUCAAUAUGUGCGGGUGAAGCUAAAGAUCAUAUAAAAGAGAUCUGAGACUUAUCCUGCUUUGUAAUUGUAAGGUAAGUUGCACUAAAAGACAGACACAUGCACCAGUAAGUAUAAGAAUGUUAUGGCAAUGUUGUAAAGAUUGGA